This 402-nucleotide ribosomal RNA is filed under the name uncultured bacterium. RNAcentral describes it as "bacterial SSU rRNA". It matches the Rfam family "Bacterial small subunit ribosomal RNA", at positions 355 to 774 of the family's 1533-position model. The record is from RNAcentral.
UCGGGAAUUUUGGGCAAUGGGCGAAAGCCUGACCCAGCAACGCCGCGUGAGGGAUGAAGUAUUUCGGUAUGUAAACCUCGAAAGAAUGGGAAGAAUAAAUGACGGUACCAUUUAUAAGCUCCGGCUAACUACGUGCCAGCAGCCGCGGUAAUACGUAGGGAGCAAGCGUUGUUCGGAUUUACUGGGCGUAAAGGGCGCGUAGGCGGCGCGGUAAGUCACUUGUGAAAUCUCUGAGCUUAACUCAGAACGGCCAAGUGAUACUGCUGUGCUAGAGUACGGAAGAGGCAACCGGAAUUCUUGGUGUAGCGGUGAAAUGCGUAGAUAUCAAGAGGAACACCUGAGGCGAAGGCGGGUUGCUGGGCCGACACUGACGCUGAUGCGCGAAAGCCAGGGGAGCAAACG